This 429-nucleotide ribosomal RNA is filed under the name Gemmatimonadota bacterium. RNAcentral's name for it is "Gemmatimonadetes bacterium partial 16S ribosomal RNA". It matches the Rfam family "Bacterial small subunit ribosomal RNA", at positions 355 to 776 of the family's 1533-position model. Lineage: Bacteria; Pseudomonadati; Gemmatimonadota. The record is from RNAcentral.
UAGGGAAUCUUCGGCAAUGGACGAAAGUCUGACCGAGCAACGCCGCGUGAGUGAAGAAGGUUUUCGGAUCGUAAAACUCUGUUGUUAGAGAAGAACAAGGACGUUAGUAACUGAACGUCCCCUGACGGUAUCUAACCAGAAAGCCACGGCUAACUACGUGCCAGCAGCCGCGGUAAUACGUAGGUGGCAAGCGUUGUCCGGAUUUAUUGGGCGUAAAGCGAGCGCAGGCGGUUUCUUAAGUCUGAUGUGAAAGCCCCCGACUCAACCGGGGAGGGUCAUUGGAAACUGGGAGACUUGAGUGCAGAAGAGGAGAGUGGAAUUCCAUGUGUAGCGGUGAAAUGCGUAGAUAUAUGGAGGAACACCAGUGGCGAAGGCGGCUCUCUGGUCUGUAACUGACGCUGAGGCGCGAAAGCGUGGGGAGCAAACAGG